This 411-nucleotide ribosomal RNA is filed under the name uncultured archaeon CRO-2a. Its description in RNAcentral is "bacterial SSU rRNA". It matches the Rfam family "Archaeal small subunit ribosomal RNA", at positions 31 to 449 of the family's 1478-position model. The record is from RNAcentral.
UAUCAGAGUAGGACUAAGCCAUGCGAGUCAACGUAGAAAUACGUGGCGAACGGCUCAGUAACACGUAGUCAACAUGCCCAGAGGACGUGGAUAACCUCGGGAAACUGAGGAUAAACCGCGAUAGGCCAUGAUUUCUGGAAUGGUUCAUGGCUGAAAUCUAUAUGGCCUCUGGAUUGGACUGCGGCCGAUCCGGCUGUUGGUGAGGUAAUGGCCCACCAAACCUAUAACCGGUACGGGCUCUGAGAGGAGGAGCCCGGAGAUGGGCACUGAGACAAGGGCCCAGGCCCUAUGGGGCGCAGCAGGCGCGAAAUCUCUGCAAUAGGCGAAAGCUUGACAGGGUUACUCUGAGUGAUUCCCGCUAAGGGGAUCUUUUGGCACCUCUAAAAAUGGUGCAGAAUAAGGGGUGGGCAA